RNAcentral lists this ribosomal RNA (484 nucleotides) under Ligilactobacillus acidipiscis. RNAcentral describes it as "bacterial SSU rRNA". It matches the Rfam family "Bacterial small subunit ribosomal RNA", at positions 64 to 535 of the family's 1533-position model. The record is from RNAcentral. Lineage: Bacteria; Bacillati; Bacillota; Bacilli; Lactobacillales; Lactobacillaceae.
GAGUGCUUGCACUCAGCGGUCAAAGUGCGAGUGGCGAACGGGUGAGUAACACGUGGGCAAUCUGCCCAAAAGUGGGGGAUAACACUUGGAAACAGGUGCUAAUACCGCAUCAACCGGCUGACCGCAUGGUCGGCCGGGCAAAGACGGCGUCAGCUGUCGCUUUUGGAUGAGCCCGCGGCGUAUUAACUAGUUGGUAAGGUAACGGCUUACCAAGGUGAUGAUACGUAGCCGAACUGAGAGGUUGAUCGGCCACAUUGGGACUGAGACACGGCCCAAACUCCUACGGGAGGCAGCAGUAGGGAAUCUUCCACAAUGGACGCAAGUCUGAUGGAGCAACGCCGCGUGUAUGAAGAAGGUCUUCGGAUCGUAAAAUACUGUUGUCAGAGAAGAACACGUGAUAGAGUAACUGCUAUGACGCUGACGGUAUCUGACCAGCAAGUCACGGCUAACUACGUGCCAGCAGCCGCGGUAAUACGUAGGUGGC